This 700-nucleotide ribosomal RNA is filed under the name uncultured bacterium. RNAcentral describes it as "bacterial SSU rRNA". It matches the Rfam family "Bacterial small subunit ribosomal RNA", at positions 63 to 792 of the family's 1533-position model. The record is from RNAcentral.
CGAACGGGGUCGCAAGACCCAGUGGCGGACGGGUGAGUAACGCGUAGGCAAUCUGCCCCCCAGUGGGGGACACCCAGCCGAAAGGUUGGCUAAUACCGCAUACGCUGGUCGGUUGAAAUACCGGUCAGGAAAGGUUUACUGCUGAGGGAUGAGCCUGCGUCCGAUUAGCUAGUUGGUAGGGUAACGGCCUACCAAGGCGACGAUCGGUAGCUGGUCUGAGAGGACGAUCAGCCACGCUGGAACUGAGACACGGUCCAGACUCCUACGGGAGGCAGCAGUGGGGAAUUUUCCGCAAUGGGCGCAAGCCUGACGGAGCAACGCCGCGUGGGUGACGAAGGAUUUCGGUCUGUAAAGCCCUUUCAGUCGGGACGAGUCGCAGACGGUACCGACAGAAGAAGCAUCGGCUAACUACGUGCCAGCAGCCGCGGUAAGACGUAGGAUGCGAGCGUUGUCCGGAAUUAUUGGGCGUAAAGCGUACGUAGGCGGUCAUCUAAGUCUGGGGUUAAAGACCAAGGCUCAACCUUGGGAGUGCCCUGGAUACUGGGUGACUGGAGGACGGCAGAGGAAAGUGGAAUUCCCAGUGUAGCGGUGAAAUGCGUAGAUAUUGGGAGGAACACCAGUGGCGAAAGCGACUUUCUGGGCCGUUCCUGACGCUGAGGUACGAAAGCCAGGGGAGCAAACGGGAUUAGAUACCCCGGUA